This 287-nucleotide long non-coding RNA is filed under the name Cervus hanglu yarkandensis (Yarkand deer). Its description in RNAcentral is "lncRNA (ENSCHYG00000014138.1)". The record is from RNAcentral. Lineage: Eukaryota; Metazoa; Chordata; Mammalia; Artiodactyla; Cervidae.
GCUCCCAGGCUCACAAAGACCCUUUCUUCCGCUUUGGCGGCAAACACCGAGCCACACACAGCAGGACGAAGAAGUGGCGGGUGGAGCAGUGGAUGGAUCGCAGGGAAUGAGACUGGAUUUCUUCUUCCCUUCUUUGCCUGUCCAAAAAACAACAGGGGGGUCCUGUCCCACAGCCAGGGUAGUGAACCCAGUGGUGGACAGGCGUUGUCAUGGUGCAAAGGGGUUGAACUGAUGAGGAUGAAUGGUUGCCUGGCAUAUACAUUCCCCACCAGCCAUGUUCAAAUAGG